UACGUAGGCAGCGAGCGUUUGUUCGGAGUUACUGGGCGUAAAGGGUGUGUAGGCGGUUUUCUAAGUUUGGUGUGAAAUCUCCCGGCUCAACCGGGAGGGUGCGCCGAAAACUGGGAGACUAGAGUGCGGGAUGGGAGAGUAGAAUUCCUGGUGUAGCGGUGAAAUGCGUAGAUAUCAGGAGGAAUACCGGUGGUGUAGACGGCUCUCUGGACCGCCACUGACGCUGAGACAACGGAAACGUGGGUAGCAAACAGG
Molecule: ribosomal RNA, 255 nt
Filed under: uncultured bacterium
Lineage: Bacteria
Description: partial 16S ribosomal RNA
Rfam family: Bacterial small subunit ribosomal RNA
Source: RNAcentral